NNNNNNNNNNGGAUUCCCCUAGUAACUGCGAGUGAAGCGGGAAAAGCUCAAAUUUAAAAUCUGGCGGUCUUGACCGUCCGAGUUGUAUUCUGGAGAAGUGCUUUCCGCGCUGGACCGUGUAUAAGUCUCUUGGAACAGAGCGUCAUAGAGGGUGAGAAUCCCGUCUUUGACACGGACUACCAGUGCUUUGUGAUGCGCUCUCAAAGAGUCGAGUUGUUUGGGAAUGCAGCUCAAAAUGGGUGGUAAAUUCCAUCUAAAGCUAAAUAUUGGCGAGAGACCGAUAGCGAACAAGUACCGUGAGGGAAAGAUGAAAAGCACUUUGGAAAGAGAGUUAAACAGUACGUGAAAUUGUUGAAAGGGAAACGCUUGAAGUCAGUCGCGUCGUCCGGAACUCAGCCUUGCCUUUUCGCAUGGUGUAUUUUCCGGUUGACGGGCCAGCAUCGAUUUUGACCGUCGGACAAAGGCCAGCGGAAUGUGGCACCUUCGGGUGUGUUAUAGCCGCUGGUUGUAUACGGCGAUUGGGAUCGAGGACCGCAGCUUCGGCUUAGGAUGCUGGCGUAAUGGCUUUAAACGACCCGUCUUGAAACACGGACCAAGGAGUCUAACAUGCCUGCGAGUGUUUGGGUGGAAAACCCGAGCGCGUAAUGAAAGUGAAAGUUGAGACCUCUGUCGCGGAGGGCAUCGACGCCCGGACCUGAUCUUCGGUGACGGAUCUGCGGUAGAGCAUGUAUGUUGGGACCCGAAAGAUGGUGAACUAUGCCUGAAUAGGGUGAAGCCAGAGGAAACUCUGGUGGAGGCUCGUAGCGAUUCUGACGUGCAAAUCGAUCGUCAAAUUUGGGUAUAGGGGCGAAAGACUAAUCGAACCNNNNNNNNNNNNNNNNNNNNN
Molecule: ribosomal RNA, 886 nt
Filed under: Amylostereum areolatum
Lineage: Eukaryota; Fungi; Basidiomycota; Agaricomycetes; Russulales; Stereaceae
Description: partial 25S ribosomal RNA
Rfam family: Eukaryotic large subunit ribosomal RNA
Source: RNAcentral